AGUUCUUUUAGACAAAACCUUCCAAUUUUUCUCCCCAAAUCAUUUUAGUAUCUUCACUCCCAUUUUUCCCCCAAAUCAUCUUCGCCUCUCCGCUCCUCUCUCUCCUCUCUAACACUUUCUCUCUCGUUGCUCUUCCUCUACCGCUUGUUCUCCUCUCUAACCCAAAUCAUUUCAGUAUCUGCCGCUCGAUACUCGAUCAACCACUCAUCAUCUUCUACUUGAAUUGGGCACACUUUUUCAGAUCGUGAAACCCUAGGCAUCGUGGGAUCCGUUCUCAUCUCUGCUCUUCUUGUCGAAUUGUAAGUCGCAUCAUCUUCUUCUACUUGGAUGCGCGUGUCUUGUUUAGUUGUCCGUUGAUAUCUCAACGUAUCUCCCAGAGUCGGAGAGCCUUCUCAGGUCCUCUUUCUCUCAAAUGUAUUUAUUUUUUUAGAAAUUCAUAAAUUAAAAUGUGUAUUGGGAUAUUUUAGCAAUGUUUUGUGCCCCUUUGAGCAGGGUUGAGCAUUGCAUCCAUGGGAAAAGGCUGCAAUCAACAGUACUGUGUGUUCCCAUUAACAAGUCUCUAAAUUGGGUAAGGAUACAUGUUUUUCUUUGACUUGAGUUUCGUUCAGAAAUAAGUGUUUUGUUAUUUCAUUUAAUUAGAUUAUAGGAAGCUAUCUUUUUUGUUAACCCUCAAUUUUAGUGAUAAUAAUUAAUUGUGCUGAUGUGAUUUAAUGUCAAACAAACCUAUUAAAAAUUGUAUUUUUGGUGUAAUUAGCUAAAACUAUUAUAACUGCUGGAUAAGUGGAACACAGUACAUGCAAUGCAGUUGGCAGUUUCUGCCACGUAACAAGAGCAACAAUUGAAAGGCUUGGAGGAAGA
Molecule: long non-coding RNA, 858 nt
Filed under: Panax ginseng (ginseng)
Lineage: Eukaryota; Viridiplantae; Streptophyta; Magnoliopsida; Apiales; Araliaceae
Description: long non-coding RNA (PGIN_LNC012136)
Source: RNAcentral